GAUGAACGCUGGCGGCGUGCCUAAUACAUGCAAGUCGAGCGAACAGAUGAGGAGCUUGCUCCUCUGACGUUAGCGGCGGACGGGUGAGUAACACGUGGAUAACCUACCUAUAAGACUGGGAUAACUUCGGGAAACCGGAGCUAAUACCGGAUAAUAUAUUGAACCGCAUGGUUCAAUAGUGAAAGACGGUUUUGCUGUCACUUAUAGAUGGAUCCGCGCCGCAUUAGCUAGUUGGUAAGGUAACGGCUUACCAAGGCAACGAUGCGUAGCCGACCUGAGAGGGUGAUCGGCCACACGGGAACUGAGACACGGUCCAGAAUCCUACGGGAGGCAGCAGUAGGGAAUCUUCCGCAAUGGGCGAAAGCCUGAAGGAGCAACGCCGCGUGAGUGAUGAAGGUCUUCGGAUCGUAAAACUCUGUUAUUAGGGAAGAACAAAUGUGUAAGUAACUAUGCACGUAUUGACGGUACCUAAUCAGAAAGCCACGGCUAACUACGUG
RNAcentral lists this ribosomal RNA (497 nucleotides) under uncultured bacterium. Its description in RNAcentral is "partial 16S ribosomal RNA". It matches the Rfam family "Bacterial small subunit ribosomal RNA", at positions 28 to 507 of the family's 1533-position model. The record is from RNAcentral.